Molecule: ribosomal RNA, 465 nt
Filed under: Streptococcus sp. oral taxon C14
Lineage: Bacteria; Bacillati; Bacillota; Bacilli; Lactobacillales; Streptococcaceae
Description: bacterial SSU rRNA
Rfam family: Bacterial small subunit ribosomal RNA
Source: RNAcentral
AUUGAACGCUGGCGGCAGGCUUAACACAUGCAAGUCGAACGGUAACAUAAAGGAGCUUGCUUCUUUGAUGACGAGUGGCGGACGGGUGAGUAAUGCUUGGGAAUCUAGCUUAUGGAGGGGGAUAACUACGGGAAACUGUAGCUAAUACCGCGUAAUAUCGAAAGAUUAAAGUGUGGGACCUUCGGGCCACAUGCCAUAAGAUGAGCCCAAGUGGGAUUAGGUAGUUGGUGAGGUAAAGGCUCACCAAGCCGACGAUCUCUAGCUGGUCUGAGAGGAUGACCAGCCACACUGGGACUGAGACACGGCCCAGACUCCUACGGGAGGCAGCAGUGGGGAAUAUUGCGCAAUGGGGGCAACCCUGACGCAGCCAUGCCGCGUGAAUGAAGAAGGCCUUCGGGUUGUAAAGUUCUUUCGGUAGCGAGGAAGGCAUUUAGUUUAAUAGACUAAGUGAUUGACGUAACUACA